UAGUAAUUCAGACUCUCACUUCAACAGCUAUUUUCUUUGGCUGUUUUCAAAGAGCGGCUAAUUAUAUCCGGGAAGUAGAAGAACAUACUUUCAGGUUGGGGCUUUCACCCGUAUGCCUGUGUGUCAGCCUCACCUGAUGGCCAGAACUCAUCCUCUGACACUGCUAAGGUACAGAAGUCACCCACUCAGUCACCCUCACGUUGAACGCAGCAUGAACCUUACGUCUUGAAGACCACUGGUUACUGGAACCUAUACCUUCUUCCACUUCACUAUAUAUCAUGCGACUGAGUGAUACAUCUACUUCUUUCUCCUGCUCUGCUCUUUCUACAUGCUUAUAGAAAUUUCUUUUGGUCCCUGAGAUCAUGACUUUGCAUUAUUUACUAUUAAAUUUCAUCCUAUUUCUGUUACUGAGUCCUCAAGGUCAUGAAGAUCUUCCUGUAUGAUAAUCCAAUCCUCUUCUGCAUCGAUAGUAUCUUCCAGCUUUGUGUUGUCAGCAAAUUUCAUUAGCUCACUUAAUUUCUACUUUUUGUGCCAAGGUCAUUAAUGAAAAGAUUAAAUAAGAUUGUUCCAAAAGUGAAACUAGGAAAUUCCAUUAAUAAUUCUCCUCUCUCUUGACAGAGGACUCUUCAGUCAGUUUCUUAUAUGCUUUACAGUUCAUGUAUGUCUGGAUCUUUAUCUUAAUUAAUAUUUUACUAUGUAGUGUUAUAUAAAGUACUUUCAUGUGGUCCAGCAAAAUUAGGUCUAGUGCCUGUCUCUCUGUAAAAAAACAGGCAAUCACCUUAUCAAAUUUAUCAAAUAAUUCUGGAAUGAUUUAUUAUUGAUAAAUGAGUAUUUUUAUUCUAUUUCUAUAUUUGUCUUUAUCUUUUAUUAUGCAUUUUUCAAAUGUGUCCUAAAACCAUGAUUAUUAUUCAGUACAGACUUAUGUG
This is a long non-coding RNA of Rhea pennata, 926 nucleotides long. RefSeq lists it as uncharacterized. Lineage: Eukaryota; Metazoa; Chordata; Aves; Rheiformes; Rheidae. The transcript is spliced from 3 exons. The record is from RefSeq and is a predicted model, not a curated record.